CCUACGGGCGGCAGCAGUGAGGAAUAUUGGUCAAUGGACGGAAGUCUGAACCAGCCAUGCCGCGUGCAGGAAGACGGCUCUAUGAGUUGUAAACUGCUUUUGUACAAGGGUAAACCUGAAUACGUGUAUUCAGCUGAAAGUACUUUACGAAUAAGGAUCGGCUAACUCCGUGCCAGCAGCCGCGGUAAUACGGAGGAUCCAAGCGUUAUCCGGAUUUAUUGGGUUUAAAGGGUGCGUAGGCGGAUUGAUAAGUUAGUGGUGAAAUGUCCGAGCUUAACUGGGGAACUGCCAUUAAUACUGUUGAUCUAGAGAGUAGAUGCGGUAGGCGGAAUGUAUGGUGUAGCGGUGAAAUGCUUAGAGAUCAUACAGAACACCGAUUGCGAAGGCAGCUUACUAAUCUAUAUCUGACGUUGAGGCACGAAAGCGUGGGUAGCAAACAGGAUUAGAUACCCUUGUAGUC
RNAcentral lists this ribosomal RNA (460 nucleotides) under uncultured bacterium. Its description in RNAcentral is "partial 16S ribosomal RNA". It matches the Rfam family "Bacterial small subunit ribosomal RNA", at positions 338 to 795 of the family's 1533-position model. The record is from RNAcentral.